RNAcentral lists this ribosomal RNA (488 nucleotides) under uncultured bacterium. RNAcentral's name for it is "bacterial SSU rRNA". It matches the Rfam family "Bacterial small subunit ribosomal RNA", at positions 28 to 507 of the family's 1533-position model. The record is from RNAcentral.
GACGAACGCUGGCGGCGUGCUUAAUACAUGCAAGUCGAGCGAGGUUACUGUUUCGGAUCCCUUCGGGGUGAAGAAGCUUUAACCUAGCGGCGGACGGGUGAGUAACGCGUGGGUAACCUACCCCAAAGUCCGGGAUAACAGCGGGAAACCGCUGCUAAUACCGGAUGCCUUUACCUUGGGGCAUCUUGAGGUAAAGAAAGGUAACGCUUUGGGAUGGGCCCGCGUCCCAUUAGCUAGUUGGUGAGGUAACGGCUCACCAAGGCGACGAUGGGUAGCCGGCCUGAGAGGGUGGACGGCCACACUGGGACUGAGACACGGCCCAGACUCCUACGGGAGGCAGCAGUAGGGAAUAUUGCGCAAUGGACGGAAGUCUGACGCAGCGACGCCGCGUGAGUGAUGAAGGUCUUCGGAUCGUAAAGCUCUGUCCUUGGGGAAGAAGGUCUUCGGACUUGACGGUACCCAAGAAGAAAGCCCCGGCUAACUACGUG